RNAcentral lists this ribosomal RNA (497 nucleotides) under uncultured bacterium. RNAcentral describes it as "partial 16S ribosomal RNA". It matches the Rfam family "Bacterial small subunit ribosomal RNA", at positions 28 to 507 of the family's 1533-position model. The record is from RNAcentral.
GAUGAACGCUGGCGGCGUGCCUAAUACAUGCAAGUCGAGCUAACAGACGAUUAGCUUGCUCCUCUGACGUUAGCGGCUGACGUGUGAGUAACACGUUUAUAACCUACCUAUAUUACUUUUAUUACUUCGUGAAACCUUAGCUAAUACCGGAUAAUAUAUUUAACCGCAUGGUUCAAUAGUUAUAUCCUGUUUUUCUGUCUCUUAUAGCUUGUUCCGCGCCGCAUUAGCUAGUUGGUUAGGUAACGGCUUACCAAGGCAACGAUGCGUAGCCGACGUGAUAGGGUGAUCGGCCAAACGGGAACUGAGACAAGGUAAAGACGCCUACGGGAGGCAGCAGAAGGGAAUAUUCCGCAAUGGGCGAAAGCAGGAAGGAGAAAAGCGGCGUGAGUGAUGAAGGUCUUAGGAUCGUAAAACUCUGUUAUUAGGGAAGAAAAAAUGUGUAAGUAAAUAUGAACGUAUUGACGGUACCUAAUAAGAAAGCCACGGCUAACUACGUG